Long non-coding RNA from Astatotilapia calliptera (eastern happy), 691 nucleotides. Lineage: Eukaryota; Metazoa; Chordata; Actinopteri; Cichliformes; Cichlidae. The record is from Ensembl.
CUCUUCAUACAACAUGCCACAGUCACCCCAGCACUGCUCUCUAUGCUUCGAGGGCUUUCUGACUAACAUUCACACACAUCCAUACGACCAACUGGCCCAAGGAUAUUUGGCAUGCAGACAAGGGGAACCAGGGAUUGAACCACCAACCCUCCGAUCAGCAGAUGAUCUGACCAGAGGUGUCCGGAGUAAGGAGAGACUGAGAAGCUGAGAAGAGACGGAGGCUCUCCACCCCUGAUGAAGCACCAGCACAGAUCCAGGACAGUAUGUGAGGAAGAGGAGCCAGCAGAGGAGAACAGACAGCUGUUCUCUGUAAUUGAGGGACUGGAUACAGACCUCUGGAUUUUUCCUGCUCUGGAGUGUUUGGAGAGACUGAGUUGAGUGAAGAGAAGUGUAUUGUUUGGACCCCCGCAGCACCUGUGGAGGCCAACAGUCCAAAACUGAUUUUCAAAGGUUCUCGGACUCGUCUGUACACCCGAUCUGUUUCCCUUGUGGCGUGGAGUGGAGUGAGAGACCAAACAAACGUGUGGGAAAACCAUACGAGAGGAGCGAGUGAGCGGAGCGUGUGUUGGACUUUCUCCCCUUUCCCCCGGACCGUUGCAUACCCCUGCCCUGUACACCGUACAUACUUUCACGUGGUGUUUUGUAAAUAAAUUGACGACUGCUAUUCUAGUUGCGCUGGUCUGCGCCUGAG